This is a non-coding RNA of Jatropha curcas, 107 nucleotides long. The record is from Rfam. NCBI's taxonomy places the organism in Eukaryota, Viridiplantae, Streptophyta, Magnoliopsida, Malpighiales, Euphorbiaceae.
AGGCCCUGAUGUGGGCAAACUCAUUGAAGUUCUUUAUAGCGAUCCCAUGCCUCAUUUAGGGAUUCAUUAUCAUGUUAGGUGAAUGAGGUUAUUUCUUUGAUAAGCCU